UGGGGAAUUUUGGACAAUGGGCGCAAGCCUGAUCCAGCGAUGCCGCGUGCAGGAUGAAGGCCUUCGGGUUGUAAACUGCUUUUGUACGGAACGAAAAAGGUCUCUCUAAUACAGGGGGUGAAUGACGGUACCGUAAGAAUAAGCACCGGCUAACUACGUGCCAGAAGCCGCGGUAAUACGUAGGGUGCAAGCGUUAAUCGGAAUUACUGGGCGUAAAGCGUGCGCAGGCGGUUUUGUAAGACAGAGGUGAAAUCCCCGGGCUCAACCUGGGAACUGCCUUUGGGACUGCGAAGCUGGAGUGCGGCAGAGGGAGAUGGAAUGCCACGUGUAGCAGUGAAAUGCGUAGAUAUGCGGAGGAACACCGAUGGCGAAGGCAAUCCCCUGGGCCUGCACUGACGCUCAUGCACGAA
RNAcentral lists this ribosomal RNA (410 nucleotides) under uncultured bacterium. RNAcentral's name for it is "bacterial SSU rRNA". It matches the Rfam family "Bacterial small subunit ribosomal RNA", at positions 355 to 757 of the family's 1533-position model. The record is from RNAcentral.